AUGAACGCUGGCGGCGUGCCUCAUACAUGCCAGUCGAGCGAACAGACGAGGAGCUUGCUCCUCUGACGUUAGCGGCGGACGGGUGAGUAACACGUGGAUAACCUACCUAUAAGACUGGGAUAACUUCGGGAAACCGGAGCUAAUACCGGAUAAUAUAUUGAACCGCAUGGUUCAAUAGUGAAAGACGGUUUUGCUGUCACUUAUAGAUGGAUCCGCGCCGCAUUAGCUAGUUGGUAAGGUAACGGCUUACCAAGGCAACGAUGCGUAGCCGACCUGAGAGGGUGAUCGGCCACACUGGAACUGAGACACGGUCCAGACUCCUACGGGAGGCAGCAGUAGGGAAUCUUCCGCAAUGGGCGAAAGCCUGACGGAGCAACGCCGCGUGAGUGAUGAAGGUCUUCGGAUCGUAAAACUCUGUUAUUAGGGAAGAACAAAUGUGUAAGUAACUAUGCACGGCUUGACGGUACCUAAUCAGAAAGCCACGGCUAACUACGUG
RNAcentral lists this ribosomal RNA (496 nucleotides) under uncultured bacterium. Its description in RNAcentral is "partial 16S ribosomal RNA". It matches the Rfam family "Bacterial small subunit ribosomal RNA", at positions 29 to 507 of the family's 1533-position model. The record is from RNAcentral.